This is a long non-coding RNA of Sinocyclocheilus grahami, 90 nucleotides long. RefSeq lists it as uncharacterized. NCBI's taxonomy places the organism in Eukaryota, Metazoa, Chordata, Actinopteri, Cypriniformes, Cyprinidae. The transcript has 3 exons. The record is from RefSeq and is a predicted model, not a curated record.
GGCUUUGAGCCGAAACGUUUGUAUCUUUUCCCAUUAGUAAUGAAUGUAAAAUAAAAGAAAAAAGAAGAUUGUUCUCCUGCAGUGUCCUUC